This is a long non-coding RNA of Cyprinodon tularosa, 364 nucleotides long. RefSeq lists it as uncharacterized. The transcript is spliced from 3 exons. The record is from RefSeq and is a predicted model, not a curated record. NCBI's taxonomy places the organism in Eukaryota, Metazoa, Chordata, Actinopteri, Cyprinodontiformes, Cyprinodontidae.
GCAAAUGAGGAGGGGCGUGUCUUAAGGACUCAACUGCUGCCCAUUGGUUGGUUAGCAUUUUGCUGCAUCCGUCGAAUCUACAUAGCUUUUCCCCACCGUAAAGCAUUUAGUAAUGGCAAACUCAGGAGGCAGACGUUCGGUGUCCGACCUCCUAAGGGAAGCUGCUAACAGAUUGGAAGAAUUAGAACGCUCUUCCAGUUUGAGUAGCAGUGGUGUGGAACCCGAGGAAGGCCAGAGGAGUAACAUUCCCUCAGCAGCAAGACCAGGAACAGUCAGUCAUACUGCUAUGGGCCGACAUCCUGUUGAUGGUAAGUUAGUUUGUGACAACCUGUGAUCUCUAACAUGUAACCUUCCUUCAGUGAAA